UGAGUAACCUGCCCUUAACUCUGGGAUAAGCCUGGGAAACUGGGUCUAAUACCGGAUAUGACUCCUCAUCGCAUGGUGGGGGGUGGAAAGCUUUAUUGUGGUUUUGGAUGGACUCGCGGCCUAUCAGCUUGUUGGUGAGGUAAUGGCUCACCAAGGCGACGACGGGUAGCCGGCCUGAGAGGGUGACCGGCCACACUGGGAUUGAGACACGGCCCAGACUCCUACGGGAGCAG
This 233-nucleotide ribosomal RNA is filed under the name uncultured bacterium. RNAcentral describes it as "partial 16S ribosomal RNA". It matches the Rfam family "Bacterial small subunit ribosomal RNA", at positions 118 to 347 of the family's 1533-position model. The record is from RNAcentral.